GAUGAACGCUGGCGGCGUGCCUAAUACAUGCAAGUCGAGCGAACAGACGAGGAGCUUGCUCCUCUGACGUUAGCGGCGGACGGGUGAGUAACACGUGGAUAACCUACCUAUAAGACUGGGAUAACUUCGGGAAACCGGAGCUAAUACCGGAUAAUAUAUUGAACCGCAUGGUUCAAUAGUGAAAGACGGUUUUGCUGUCCCUUAUAGAUGGAUCCGCGCCGCAUUAGCUAGUUGGUAAGGUAACGGCUUACCAAGGCAACGAUGCGUAGCCGACCUGAGAGGGUGAUCGGCCACACUGGAACUGAGACACGGUCCAGACUCCUACGGGAGGCAGCAGUAGGGAAUCUUCCGCAAUGGGCGAAAGCCUGACGGAGCAACGCCGCGUGAGUGAUGAAGGUCUUCGGAUCGUAAAACUCUGUUAUUAGGGAAGAACAAAUGUGUAAGUAACUAUGCACGUCUUGACGGUACCUAAUCAGAAAGCCACGGCUAACUGCGUG
This 497-nucleotide ribosomal RNA is filed under the name uncultured bacterium. Its description in RNAcentral is "partial 16S ribosomal RNA". It matches the Rfam family "Bacterial small subunit ribosomal RNA", at positions 28 to 507 of the family's 1533-position model. The record is from RNAcentral.